Agrilus planipennis (emerald ash borer) is the source of this 73-nucleotide non-coding RNA. Lineage: Eukaryota; Metazoa; Arthropoda; Insecta; Coleoptera; Buprestidae. The record is from Rfam.
CCUUUCGUAGCUUAGUGGUUAGAGUAUUGGUGCGCAAAGCCGAAGGUUCUGGGUUCGAUUCCCGGCGAGGGUG